UGUUUCCCUACUCUGAACUCAGACCAUUGU
This 30-nucleotide non-coding RNA is filed under the name Mus musculus (house mouse). Lineage: Eukaryota; Metazoa; Chordata; Mammalia; Rodentia; Muridae. The record is from RNAcentral.